UGCGAGUCGAACGGGGCCUGAUCUACACUUGCUGCAUUGAUGGCGAGUGGCGAAGGGGUGAGUAAUACGUCGGAACGUGCCCUGUAGUGGGGGAUAACUAGUCAAAAGAUUACCUAAUACCGCAGACGAACUGAGGGUGAAAGUGGGGGACCGCGGGGCCUCCUGCUAUAGGAUCGGCCGAUGUCUGAUUAGCUAGUUGGUGGGGUAAAGGCCCACCAAGGCCACCAUCAAUAUCUGGUCUGAGAGGACCAUCACCCACACUGGGACUGAUACACGGCCCAAACUCCUACGGGAGGCAGCAGUGGGGAAUUUUGGACAAUGGGCGAAAGCCUGAUCCAGCAAUGCCGCGUGUGUGAAGAAGGCCUUCGGGUUGUAAAGCACUUUUGUCCGGAAAGAAAUGGCUCUGGUUAAUACCUGGGGUCGAUGACCGUACCGGAAUAAUAAGGACCGGCUAACUACGUGCCACCACCCGCGGUAAUACGUAGGGUCC
RNAcentral lists this ribosomal RNA (490 nucleotides) under uncultured Ralstonia sp. Its description in RNAcentral is "bacterial SSU rRNA". It matches the Rfam family "Bacterial small subunit ribosomal RNA", at positions 56 to 535 of the family's 1533-position model. The record is from RNAcentral. Lineage: Bacteria; Pseudomonadati; Pseudomonadota; Betaproteobacteria; Burkholderiales; Burkholderiaceae.